CAUUUUGUUAAUUAAAUACAGUCCACAAUAAUCCACAACUCCACUGCCUUUAAUCACAGACAUACGACCUAACAAGAUGCAUCUAAAGGCAACAUUAAUAGUGGCGGAAAGUUGAUUAUGGCGACAUCAUGUGGUCAAACGACGGUAAUGGCCCCACAACCCCUUGGGGGUAAUAUCAUCAAAGGUGAGAAGCAGCAGCUGUCCAGUGCAACGCAGUGCCACCUCUAAAGACUCAGGAACACUUGCAGUAACACAGCAGGUGAAACAGAUUGGGAUUGAUUCCGGAAGGAGGAAGACCGCACCCAUCACCGCAAGGGUGCAAAAGGGUGCUUUGCCCCCUCAGUUGUAUUUUCUGCCCCCAUGUUAAAACGUACAAACACAACAACACAGUUACUUUUACAAGGUCCCAUUGGUGUCUUUAUUGCAGGGGGCUUUCAACUACUAACAGCGUAAUCCCAUCCGGGCAAUAUUUGACACAGAAAGCCAUCACUUCAGCCAUUCUCUUCCUUCAUUCGUAUGUCCAUGAUUUUAACCCCCUUA
Molecule: long non-coding RNA, 540 nt
Organism: Etheostoma cragini (Arkansas darter)
Lineage: Eukaryota; Metazoa; Chordata; Actinopteri; Perciformes; Percidae
Exons: 3
Source: RefSeq, a predicted model, not a curated record